Molecule: non-coding RNA, 289 nt
Filed under: Pan troglodytes (chimpanzee)
Lineage: Eukaryota; Metazoa; Chordata; Mammalia; Primates; Hominidae
Source: RNAcentral
UGGAGGUAGGCUCUCUAGGAAUCUGGGAGUAGUAGCUGGGGGGCAAGAGCAAAUAAAGAGCUCGGGCUUCUGUGGUCUCUGGGGAGAUGUUCCCGGGAAGCCUGGCUAGAGGGCGGAGGGCAGCUGUUGAGAUGGCGUGGCUUUCGCGGCGGGCGCUGCGGCCCGGGCCACAUCUGCCAGAGCCUGGAGUCUGCGAAGGCCGGGACCCGGUUCCCCGGCCCACCGUGGGGGGGGGUGUGCAAACCCGAGAGAACUGGAUUGCGUACCCACUGCAGAGUGCUGAAGACGG